RNAcentral lists this transfer RNA (60 nucleotides) under Dacrycarpus imbricatus. RNAcentral's name for it is "tRNA-Gln". It matches the Rfam family "tRNA", at positions 14 to 71 of the family's 71-position model. From Rfam's summary of the family: Transfer RNA (tRNA) molecules are approximately 80 nucleotides in length. Their secondary structure includes four short double-helical elements and three loops (D, anti-codon, and T loops). Lineage: Eukaryota; Viridiplantae; Streptophyta; Pinopsida; Araucariales; Podocarpaceae. The record is from RNAcentral.
AGUGGUAAGGCACCAGGUUUUGGUCCUGUUAUUGCGAAGGUUCGAAUCCUUCCGUCCCAG